Non-coding RNA from Manis javanica (Malayan pangolin), 399 nucleotides. The record is from RefSeq and is a predicted model, not a curated record. NCBI's taxonomy places the organism in Eukaryota, Metazoa, Chordata, Mammalia, Pholidota, Manidae.
UGGGGUCAAAGCAGCAGGCUUUGCGUCACGGUUUGCGCCCGGGAGCUGUGCCCUCCGACGCUGCUGAGUUGCCCGGCGCUAUGGCUCGGCUUGCAAGACCGUUGUUUUAAUAAACAUAUGGUCGUGGAGGUUCAUGGAGUCUUGGGAGUGACCACCUACAUCUGCCAGCCCCUGAGUGCUGGGCUGCGCUCUCCACCGAGGAGAGAGACCUGGAACCACUUCCACCAAAACACUGAUUGGAACCAAGCAAACCAUACUGUGUGCAGAUAGCCAUUGUGGUUGGCAGCUUCUAAGAAGACCCCAGUGAUCCCCACCUCCUGGUAUUCAUGAUUCAUGGCCUUGUGUAAUUCCUUACCCUUGAGUAACCCACUUCUAACCAAUAAAAUAUGGCAAUGUUAA